AAUGAACGUUGGCGGCGUGGAUUAGGCAUGCAAGUCGAGCGAGAAGUUUCCUUCGGGAAGUGGACAGCGGCGCAAGGGAGAGUAACGCGUGGAUAACCUGCCCUGGGGUCCGGGAUAGCUGUGGGAAACUGCAGGUAAUACCGGAUAAUAUCUUUGGAUCAAAGGUGUGAUUCCGCCCUAGGAUGGGUCCGCGUCCUACUAGCUUGUUGGUAAGGUAACGGCUUACCAAGGCUUCGAUGGGUACCGGGUGUGAGAGCAUGGCCCGGCUCACUGGGACUGAGACACUGCCCAGACACCUACGGGUGGCUGCAGUCGAGAAUAUUCGGCAAUGGACGAAAGUCUGACCGAGCGACGCCGCGUGCGGGAUGAAGGCCUUCGGGUUGUAAACCGCUGUCAGAGGGGAUGAAAUGCUAGGGGGUUAUCCCUCUAGUUUGACAAAUCCUCAGAGGAAGUACGGGCUAAGUACGUG
This 469-nucleotide ribosomal RNA is filed under the name uncultured bacterium. Its description in RNAcentral is "bacterial SSU rRNA". It matches the Rfam family "Bacterial small subunit ribosomal RNA", at positions 29 to 507 of the family's 1533-position model. The record is from RNAcentral.